This is a transfer RNA of Camelus ferus (Wild Bactrian camel), 72 nucleotides long. It matches the Rfam family "tRNA". From Rfam's summary of the family: Transfer RNA (tRNA) molecules are approximately 80 nucleotides in length. Their secondary structure includes four short double-helical elements and three loops (D, anti-codon, and T loops). NCBI's taxonomy places the organism in Eukaryota, Metazoa, Chordata, Mammalia, Artiodactyla, Camelidae. The record is from Rfam.
GAGGGUAUAGCUCAGUGGUCGAGUGCGUGCUUAGCAUGCACAAGGUCCUGGAAUCAAUCCCCAGUACCUCCA